CCUCCGGGAGGCAGCAGUGGGGAAUUUUGGACAAUGGGCGCAAGCCUGAUCCAGCCAUGCCGCGUGUGGGAAGAAGGCCUUCGGGUUGUAAACCACUUUUGUCAGGGAAGAAACGGUCUGAACUAAUACUUUGGACUAAUGACGGUACCUGAAGAAUAAGCACCGGCUAACUACGUGCCAGCAGCCGCGGUAAUACGUAGGGUGCAAGCGUUAAUCGGAAUUACUGGGCGUAAAGCGUGCGCAGGCGGCUUUGCAAGACAGAUGUGAAAUCCCCGGGCUCAACCUGGGAACUGCAUUUGUGACUGCAUGGCUAGAGUACGGUAGAGGGGGAUGGAAUUCCGCGUGUAGCAGUGAAAUGCGUAGAUAUGCGGAGGAACACCGAUGGCGAAGGCAAUCCCCUGGACCUGUACUGACGCUCAUGCACGAAAGCGUGGGGAGCAAACAGGAUUAGAUACCCUGGUAGUCCACGCCCUAAACGAUGUCAACUGGUUGUUGGGAGGGUUUCUUCUCAGUAACGAAGCUAACGCGUGAAGUUGACCGCCUGGGGAGUACGGCCGCAAGGUUGAAACUUAAAGGAAUUGACGGCUGAGAGNGCGAGACGACGACGAGGAGAGG
RNAcentral lists this ribosomal RNA (615 nucleotides) under uncultured bacterium. RNAcentral's name for it is "bacterial SSU rRNA". It matches the Rfam family "Bacterial small subunit ribosomal RNA", at positions 338 to 946 of the family's 1533-position model. The record is from RNAcentral.